UUUGGGGAUAUAGCUCAGUUGGUAGAGUGCUUGUCUUGUAUGCAGAAGGCCCUGGGUUCAAUCCCCAGCACCACAAAA
RNAcentral lists this transfer RNA (78 nucleotides) under Marmota monax (woodchuck). Its description in RNAcentral is "tRNA.Thr". The stretch from base 4 to 73 matches the Rfam family "tRNA". Rfam says of the family: Transfer RNA (tRNA) molecules are approximately 80 nucleotides in length. The record is from RNAcentral. Lineage: Eukaryota; Metazoa; Chordata; Mammalia; Rodentia; Sciuridae.